Molecule: ribosomal RNA, 630 nt
Filed under: Myxococcus xanthus
Lineage: Bacteria; Pseudomonadati; Myxococcota; Myxococcia; Myxococcales; Myxococcaceae
Description: bacterial SSU rRNA
Rfam family: Bacterial small subunit ribosomal RNA
Source: RNAcentral
UGGCGGCGUGCCUACACAUGCAAGUCGAGCGCGAAUAGGGGCAACCCUUAGUAGAUCGGCGCACGGGUGCGUAACACGUGGAUAAUCUGCCUGUAUUGCUCGGGAUAACCAGUCGAAAGAUUGGCUAAUACCGGAUAAGCCCACGGUUUCUUCGGAGACUGAGGGAAAAGGUGGCCUCUGUAUACAAGCUAUCACAUUCAGAUGAGUCCGCGGCCCAUCAGCUAGUUGGCGGGGUAAUGGCCCACCAAGGCAACGACGGGUAGCUGGUCUGAGAGGACGAUCAGCCACACUGGAACUGAGACACGGUCCAGACUCCUACGGGAGGCAGCAGUGGGGAAUUUUGCGCAAUGGGCGAAAGCCUGACGCAGCAACGCCGCGUGUGUGAUGAAGGUCUUUGGAUUGUAAAGCACUUUCGACCGGGAAGAAAACCCGUUGGCUAACAUCCAACGGCUUGACGGUACCGGGAGAAGAAGCACCGGCUAACUCUGUGCCAGCAGCCGCGGUAAUACAGAGGGUGCAAGCGUUGUUCGGAAUUAUUGGGCGUAAAGCGCGUGUAGNCGGCGUGACAAGUCGGGUGUGAANCCCCUCAGCUCAACUGAGGAAGUGCGCCCAAACUGUUGUGCUUGANUG